Molecule: unclassified non-coding RNA, 119 nt
Filed under: Mus musculus (house mouse)
Lineage: Eukaryota; Metazoa; Chordata; Mammalia; Rodentia; Muridae
Description: partial derived from hnRNA or mRNA fragment, or novel small non-messenger RNA without known sequence-or structural motifs
Source: RNAcentral
AGAGAGUACAGAGAAAAAACCAUUGUCUUUCUCAUAUCAACACACACAAAGAAACAGACACACGUGUACACAAACACACUUGCCAGUCUGUCAAUAUUUCAUUUGAUUAACAAGAACCA